CACAGGUUAAAGAGAGGGAACGCUUAGCUGUUCCAGCAGAGUUUCGCUCUGAACGGCCCGUGUUUAUGAGUGUACAAGCUUCAUGUUCAGACGCACUCCGGAAUGCUGCAGUUUGCGUGGAAACGCAGAAGCUGGCGCAGGAGGAUCCCCCUGUACCGACAGGGGCCGCACGGCUGUGUCAGCCAGGGGGGUGGCGUGUGUCCCCCAUCCUGUCCUUCGGAUGCAGGACAGGGCAAAACCCUCCCAGGAAAUCCACGGGGAAGAUGAGAAAUGAGCAGCAGAAGCGCUGACUUGCCUUGAUUACCGCCCAGACAUGUGGCUUCACACGGUCCUUCAGGAGGCGGCAGCUCUGCCUAAUUGGCCUGUGGGGACGGAGCGGUUCCACGAACAAUGAAUGGUGUGUCUGCGUGACCAGAGGUACAGAGAGUCCAGCAGAGCCAAAGCCUGGUCACAAACAAAAGUAAUGGUUACAUGACAUCUUUGGAUCUAUUUUUAAUUAGCUACCAAUAAAGCUAUGCAAUAAUUGUUGGCUGCCCCCGGUCCUUGCCAUCCA
Columba livia (rock pigeon) is the source of this 553-nucleotide long non-coding RNA. RefSeq lists it as uncharacterized. The record is from RefSeq and is a predicted model, not a curated record. NCBI's taxonomy places the organism in Eukaryota, Metazoa, Chordata, Aves, Columbiformes, Columbidae. The transcript has 3 exons.